GGCCACCGCUCCUCCUGGCCCCGCGCCGCCGCACGCCUCCCUGCGCGCCCCGGUCCUCCCCGCGCCCCGCGCCCCCGCCGAACAACGGCCCGGGCCGAAUCGGGCGGGGUCAACGCCGGCGACGCCCAGAUUGGCGGCGAGACGUCGCCUCCGCUUCGACCGCGGUGCCAUGGAUGGGGAGUAAGGAGAAGGUUUUACCGUGUCCGCGGGAGCCGGCAGCGGUGGGGUCGGAUGCAGCACCGACGGUGAGCGGCAUGCCCGAGGGUGGGAGACCGCGUGCGAGCGCACGCGCUAGCGACGGCGGCAACGGCGGGGUGCGUGGACAGCCGGCGGCCCCUCCUCUUCCUGCCUUCCUACGCCAGAUCCGGCGGCUGGGAGAGCACGCAUGGUUGGCGCGCACAGCUGCUGCGGUGGUAUGACGUGCACCGGCAAGACCUCCCGUGGUGACGUGCCAGCGGCGGCGAGAUGUUGGAGGUGAUGCUGCAGCAGAUGCGGGUGCCCGUCGUGCGUCGUCGUCAGCUACUACGACCGGUGGAUGGCGCGGUGGCCCACCGUGCGGAGCCUCGCCGCCGCCACGUAGGAGGAGAUGAAUGAGAUGUGGGCGGGGCUCGGCUACUACCGGAGGGCUCGAUUUCUUCUGGAGGUGAGUUGUGCUCGUAAUGGAUUGAUGGGGAAGGGACUAGGGCGUAUCUAUCGUAAGGUUGGGGCUUGCUUGGCAACCAUAACUGCUGUGCGCAUUCCCUAUUGGAUGUUUUACCUCAGAGAGUCUGGAAGAUUAAUUCAGAGUUCCAUUUCCCUUUAAAUGAAGAAAAAGAAAUCUGAGUAGUAGUUCAUGAUUUGCUUUGCAUUUCAACUAAUUGUGAGAUGCCAUUAUGUUAAUUCAUUUGGUGAUCUGACAUUCUUGCGAAGUUUGCAUAAAUUGCGCUUGCCUUCCAGUUGAGCUCAUUGUAGAGGGCCAUGGGAUGAUUCUCUUUGCAUAAAUAAAUUGAUCAUCACUCUGAUGUAAAUGAGAAAAUGGAGGCAUCUCUUUACUGCUUUGCUUACUUAAUUCUGCCUGUCAUUUUCCCUUAAGGCUGCUAAUGACAUGGUCUUUGUCUCUGAUUUGCAUGGGGGAGAACUUGGAAAAAAUCUUACUAUCCAAUUACGUUUGGACCAUAGAGAAAUCUUUGCACGAAAAUGCUCCUCUAACCUAUCUGAAAUUUGUCCAGUCCACAUUCCGCAACGUAGUUUCAGAUGAGUUUCUUUUUCAAAAGAAGGGGUCCCAGUUGAAUUCCCAUUUGACAAACUGUUGGUUAUAUGCUGCCGUCUUUCUUCAGCAUCGCCAUUUGGCUUCACUUCUGUCAGUAGCAUGUCUAUAAGCUGAUCACACCAUUCUCUCGUUUCAACUAUGUAGAAGAACAUUCUUGUAUUAUCAGGCAAUUACGGCAACGAUUGUUGUUGUGCAUAGUUUUGAUUUGUUCGCAAAGACUUUGCUUCGGUUGCAUUAUUCUUUGUGCAAGCUAGGGGAUAAACUGCUCGUUGAUAAGAGUAGCAUUCCUGUCUAAUGGCACUGUGCUCAAAGGAGCAGCAUGGUAGCAGCGAAAGCUGCUUGUGU
This is a long non-coding RNA of Setaria italica (foxtail millet), 1594 nucleotides long. RefSeq lists it as uncharacterized. Lineage: Eukaryota; Viridiplantae; Streptophyta; Magnoliopsida; Poales; Poaceae. The transcript is spliced from 3 exons. The record is from RefSeq and is a predicted model, not a curated record.